UUGAAAGGGAAACGAUUGAAGUCAGUCGUACCAGCGGGAAAUCAACCUUUCGAGUGGUGUUUUGGAGUUUUGAAGUGUGUCAAAACCUUUGAGAUUUUAAAAUUUUCGCUCUUUUGGUGUACUUUCUCGUGGGUAGGUUAACAUCGAUUUUGAUCAUCAUAAAAGGACUGGAGGAAUGUAGCUUCGAUCUUGUAUUGAAGUGUUAUAGCCUUUGGUAAAUGUGAUGAUUAGGAUCGAGGAUUGCAACGAAUACCCUUUUGGGCUAUCCGCCUGAUCUCUGAUACGUGGCCUUGGUAUCGAAAGCGUGCUUAUGGUAUUGAGGUAUUACGGUCAAAAGGUUAGAACGGAUUACAUUCGUUAAGGAUGUUGACGUA
RNAcentral lists this ribosomal RNA (374 nucleotides) under uncultured Glomeromycotina. RNAcentral's name for it is "LSU rRNA". The record is from RNAcentral. Lineage: Eukaryota; Fungi; Glomeromycota.